UACGUAGGUGGCAAGCGUUGUCCGGAUUUACUGGGCGUAAAGCGCACGUAGGCGGAUUUGUAAGUCAGGGGUGAAAUCCCGAGGCUCAACCUCGGAACUGCCUUUGAUACUGCAAAUCUCGAGUCCGGAAGAGGUGAGUGGAAUUCCUAGUGUAGAGGUGAAAUUCGUAGAUAUUAGGAAGAACACCAGUGGCGAAGGCGGCUCACUGGUCCGGUACUGACGCUGAGGUGCGAAAGCGUGGGGAGCAAACAGG
RNAcentral lists this ribosomal RNA (253 nucleotides) under uncultured bacterium. RNAcentral's name for it is "partial 16S ribosomal RNA". It matches the Rfam family "Bacterial small subunit ribosomal RNA", at positions 524 to 776 of the family's 1533-position model. The record is from RNAcentral.